AGGGGCGGAGUUAUUGACAACGAGAGAGCACGAGACAUAUAAGAAUUCAGAGAGGUGACACAUUACCUGAGCUGCAGCAGUGCAACAAGUGUUACAGCAAUUACCAGCAAUUUUCUGCUUGACCAGCAUGUUUAAGCCAGCCAAACUGGUCAAAU
Long non-coding RNA from Sinocyclocheilus anshuiensis, 155 nucleotides. RefSeq lists it as uncharacterized. Lineage: Eukaryota; Metazoa; Chordata; Actinopteri; Cypriniformes; Cyprinidae. The record is from RefSeq and is a predicted model, not a curated record. The transcript has 2 exons.